AUGCAACCUACCUUUUGCAGGGGGAUAGCCCAGGGAAACUUGGAUUAAUACCCCAUAGUAUGAUUGAUCGGCAUCGGUUAAUCAUUAAAACUACGGUGGCAAAAGAUGGGCAUGCGUUCUAUUAGCUAGUAGGUGUGGUAACGGCACACCUAGGCAACGAUAGAUAGGGGCCCUGAGAGGGGGAUCCCCCACACUGGUACUGAGACACGGACCAGACUCCUACGGGAGGCAGCAGUGAGGAAUAUUGGACAAUGGGCGGAAGCCUGAUCCAGCCAUGCCGCGUGCAGGAAGACUGCCCUAUGGGUUGUAAACUGCUUUUAUACGGGAAGAAACCUCCCCUCGUGAGGGGAGCUGACGGUACCGUAAGAAUAAGGACCGGCUAACUCCGUGCCAGCAGCCGCGGUAAUACGGAGGGUCCGAGCGUUAUCCGGAAUCAUUGGGUUUAAAGGGUCCGUAGGUGGAUGAUUAAGUCAGAGGUGAAAUCCUGCAGCUCAACUGUAGAAUUGCCUUUGAUACUGGUCAUCUUGAGUCGUCGUGAAGCAGUUAGAAUAUGUAGUGUAGCGGUGAAAUGCAUAGAUAUUACAUAGAAUACCGAUUGCGAAGGCAGAUUGCUAACGACGUACUGACACUGAUGGACGAAAGCGUG
RNAcentral lists this ribosomal RNA (646 nucleotides) under uncultured Bacteroidota bacterium. RNAcentral describes it as "bacterial SSU rRNA". It matches the Rfam family "Bacterial small subunit ribosomal RNA", at positions 119 to 763 of the family's 1533-position model. The record is from RNAcentral. Lineage: Bacteria; Pseudomonadati; Bacteroidota.